UAAAGAUUGCUCUAUGCACUUGUAAUCAGAGUAAUGGAAGUAUAAAAUAUUAAUGACUAGGGGCCAAGAGAGGUGCGGGCCGGGCACCGCGGCCGCGGCCAUGGAGAAGCUGCGGUGGGUCCUAGGUGGCCAGGACGAUGAGGAGCAGGGCCUGACCGCGCAGGUGCUUGAUGCCUCGAUGCUUAGUUUCAACACCAGGCUGAAGUGGUUUGCUAUAUGCUUCGUCAGUGGCAUCUUCUUCUCCAUCCUUGGAACUGGAUUGCUGUGGCUCCCUGGAGGCAUAAAGCUUUUUGCAGUGUUUUAUACCUUUGGAAAUAUUGCUGCAUUAGCCAGUACAUACUUUUUAAUGGGACCCGUGAAACAACUAAAGAAAAUAUUUGAAACAACGAGACUGCUUGCAACAAUUAUUAUGCUCCUGUGUUUCGUGCUCACCCUGUGCGCUGCCCUUUGGUGGCAUAAGAAGGGGCUGGCCGUGUUAUUCUGCAUAUUGCAGGUAUAAUCUGUCAUACAUCCCAUAUGCAUGGGAUGCAGUAAUUAAGUGCUGUUCUUCUCUCCUGAGCUGAAAGCUGUUUGAAAAUAAGGAAACUGUUUGAAAAGACCUUUUAAAAGUUGAUGUUCUGUUUUUGGUGUGGUGUGCUUUUCCUGAUACAGUGAUCACUCCAGAACAACUGCACCGACCAUCUAAGCCCAUUUUGUAUACUGGUAAAACUACGUACCCAUUAAACUGUUAAAUGCUUGUGACAGAAAAUUCAUUAUGUGCCAUUAAUACGCUCCGUCAGAGACGAUGAGAUUUUAAUCAUUGCUAAGUGUAAAUGAUUUUUAGCCAGUUUUUAAAUCUUUUUUCUAAACAGCAUUUGAGAUGUGAAUAUUUAAGGAUAAACCUACACUGCAAGAUAUAUUCAGCUUUUUUGGUGGUUUUUAAGGGUCUACAUUUUUAAAAUAUGUUUUUAAAAUAAAAACUUUAAAUGUGAAAGCUUUUACUGUAAACUAAACUGCUUUAUUGUAUGUAAUAAAAAUAAUAUAUAAAUCUUCAUAAUUUUAAAAUAAACCCACACUUGGAAAAAA
Molecule: RNA transcript, 1065 nt
Organism: Capra hircus (goat)
Lineage: Eukaryota; Metazoa; Chordata; Mammalia; Artiodactyla; Bovidae
Gene name: vesicle transport protein SFT2A pseudogene
Exons: 1
Source: RefSeq, a predicted model, not a curated record